GAUGAAGAACGUAGCGAAAUGCGAUACGUAAUGUGAAUUGCAGAUCUCUCAGUGAACCAUCGAAUUUUUGAACGCACAUAGCGCCCGCCGGUCAUUCCGGCGGGCAUGCCUGUCCGAGCGUCGAUGACGCCGCUCGAGCCCCCGUGCUCGGUGUUGGGGCGCUAGGUCUCCCAGAGGCCUAGGCCCCCAAGUAGCAGUGCGCGGUCCGGCUGCGGGCCCCGGGUACAGUAACUUCACUGUUGAGAUGCCCUGGGAGCCGCUGGCCGGGUCAGCCGUAAAACCCCCGACAUAGGCCUUCCUGUCCGCCCCCGGCGGGGAGGGAGACCGCCUAAUGUUGACCUCGGAUCAGGUAGGACUACCCGCUGAACUUAAGCAUAUCAAUAAGCGGAGGA
RNAcentral lists this unclassified non-coding RNA (392 nucleotides) under soil metagenome. RNAcentral describes it as "partial contains 5.8S ribosomal RNA, internal transcribed spacer 2, and large subunit ribosomal RNA". The stretch from base 1 to 123 matches the Rfam family "5.8S ribosomal RNA", at positions 35 to 154 of the family's 154-position model. The record is from RNAcentral.